GAUGAAGAACGCAGCGAAAUGCGAUAAGUAAUGUGAAUUGCAGAAUUCAGUGAAUCAUCGAAUCUUUGAACGCACAUUGCGCCCUCUGGUAUUCCGGGGGGCAUGCCUGUUCGAGCGUCAUUAUAACCACUCAAGCUCUCGCUUGGUGUUGGGCCCCGCCGCCCCGGCGGGCCCUAAAGUCAGUGGCGGUGCCGUCCGGCUCCGAGCGUAGUAAUUCUUCUCGCUCUGGAGGUCCGGUCGUGUGCUCGCCAGCAACCCCCAAUUUUUUUCAGGUUGACCUCGGAUCAGGUAGGGAUACCCGCUGAACUUAAGCAUAUCAAUAAGCGGAGGA
RNAcentral lists this unclassified non-coding RNA (331 nucleotides) under soil metagenome. RNAcentral's name for it is "partial contains 5.8S ribosomal RNA, internal transcribed spacer 2, and large subunit ribosomal RNA". The stretch from base 1 to 120 matches the Rfam family "5.8S ribosomal RNA", at positions 35 to 154 of the family's 154-position model. The record is from RNAcentral.